This 301-nucleotide ribosomal RNA is filed under the name uncultured bacterium. RNAcentral's name for it is "partial 16S ribosomal RNA". It matches the Rfam family "Bacterial small subunit ribosomal RNA", at positions 509 to 808 of the family's 1533-position model. The record is from RNAcentral.
CAGCAGCCGCGGGAAGACAGAGGAUGCAAGCGUUGUCCGGAUUUAUUGGGCGUAAAGCGAGCGCAGGCGGUUUGAUAAGUCUGAAGUUAAAGGCUGUGGCUCAACCAUAGUUCGCUUUGGAAACUGUCAAACUUGAGUGCAGAAGGGGAGAGUGGAAUUCCAUGUGUAGCGGUGAAAUGCGUAGAUAUAUGGAGGAACACCGGUGGCGAAAGCGGCUCUCUGGUCUGUAACUGACGCUGAGGCUCGAAAGCGUGGGGAGCGAACAGGAUUAGAUACCCCUGUAGUCCCUGUCUCUUAUACA